GUGGGGAAUUUUGGACAAUGGGCGCAAGCCUGAUCCAGCCAUUCCGCGUGCAGGAUGAAGGCCCUCGGGUUGUAAACUGCUUUUGUACGGAACGAAAAGGCUCUGAUUAAUACCUGGAGCUGAUGACGGUACCGUAAGAAUAAGCACCGGCUAACUACGUGCCAGCAGCCGCGGUAAUACGUAGGGUGCGAGCGUUAAUCGGAAUUACUGGGCGUAAAGCGUGCGCAGGCGGUGAUGUAAGACAGGUGUGAAAUCCCCGGGCUUAACCUGGGAACUGCAUUUGUGACUGCAUCGCUGGAGUGCGGCAGAGGGGGAUGGAAUUCCGCGUGUAGCAGUGAAAUGCGUAGAUAUGCGGAGGAACACCGAUGGCGAAGGCAAUCCCCUGGGCCUGCACUGACGCUCAUGCACGAAAGCGUGGGGAGCAAACAGGAUUAGAUACCCCGGUAGUCC
RNAcentral lists this ribosomal RNA (450 nucleotides) under uncultured bacterium. Its description in RNAcentral is "bacterial SSU rRNA". It matches the Rfam family "Bacterial small subunit ribosomal RNA", at positions 354 to 796 of the family's 1533-position model. The record is from RNAcentral.